UACGGAGGAUCCGAGCGUUAUCCGGAUUUACUGGGUUUAAAGGGUGCGUAGGCGGGCGCUUAAGUCAGCGGUGAAAUACGGGGGCUCAACCUUCGAACGGCCGUUGAUACUGGGCGCCUUGGAUUCGGUCGAGGCGGGCGGUAUGCGACAUGUAGCGGUGAAAUGCUUAGAUAUGUCGCAGAACGCCGAUUGCGAAGGCAGCUCGCCAGGCCGACAUUGACGCUGAGGCACGAAAGCGUGGGGAUCGAACAGG
Molecule: ribosomal RNA, 253 nt
Filed under: uncultured bacterium
Lineage: Bacteria
Description: partial 16S ribosomal RNA
Rfam family: Bacterial small subunit ribosomal RNA
Source: RNAcentral